RNAcentral lists this ribosomal RNA (498 nucleotides) under uncultured bacterium. RNAcentral's name for it is "partial 16S ribosomal RNA". It matches the Rfam family "Bacterial small subunit ribosomal RNA", at positions 30 to 523 of the family's 1533-position model. The record is from RNAcentral.
AUUGAACGCUGGCGGAAUGCUUUACACAUGCAAGUCGAACGGCAGCACGGACUUCGGUCUGGUGGCGAGUGGCGAACGGGAGUAAUGUAUCGGAACGUGCCCAGUCGUGGGGGAUAACGUAGUGAAAAUUACGCUAAUACCGCAUACGAUCUAUGGAUGAAAGCGGGGGAUCGCAAGACCUCGCGCGAUUGGAGAGGCCGAUAUCAGAUUAGGUAGUUGGUGGGGUAAAGGCCAACCAAGACAACGAUCUGUAGCUGGUCUGAGCGGACGACCAGCCACACUGGAACCGAGACACGGUCCAGACUCAUACGGGAGGCAGCAGUGGGGAAUUUUGGACAAUGGGCGAAAGCCUGAUCCAGCCAUUCCGCGUGCAGGAUUAAGGCCCUCGGGUUGUAAACUGCUUUUGUACAGAACGAAAAGGUUUCUGCUAAUACUAGGAGCUCAUGACGGUACUGUAAGAAUAAGCACUGGCUAACUACGUGCCAGCCGCCGCCGUAA